Long non-coding RNA from Culex quinquefasciatus (southern house mosquito), 1511 nucleotides. RefSeq lists it as uncharacterized. The transcript has 2 exons. NCBI's taxonomy places the organism in Eukaryota, Metazoa, Arthropoda, Insecta, Diptera, Culicidae. The record is from RefSeq and is a predicted model, not a curated record.
AGAUUCCGGAGUUCACCAAUGGGACAUCAAGAUCAACAAGCAUCGCAGAAGUUCCUCAAGCUCUAACAAUUAAUCGAAAACGGUUGAGGUAUGAUAGGAUUUGUGAGGUGAAAGGUGAAACUUGAUUCAAAUGGAUUGAUAAUCUGAUAAUUGAAAAAUCGAUGGCAACAGUGCAGCAAUAACUUUGUGUGGAGGAAAGAUAUAUCUGUUCAAUCAAAAUAAAUGUGAAUGGAACCGAAUACUUUAUGAACGAUUAACUCAUGAGAGGAAGGAUGAAACCUGAUCUGAACAUCAGAUAUAGGUCAAAACAAUUGGAUACUAUACAAUCGCUACUCGUUAUAAUUGGAUGAAACCGCAUAAUCACAGUUUAAUGCUGAUCAAAACAACUGAAUGGAUAGCACAGUGUAUUCACACAUAAAGGAUUGACGCAAAUCUCCACACAAUUUCUUCAAAUAUGCUGGAAAAGAAACGACAUAGACAGAAUGGUAUCAGAUUAAGUUGGCAAGAAUCAUUUUCACUGAAAACCAAGCAAUGACUUGAUUAUUUUAAACCGAACGUCAUCAGCCACAACAUCAACAUCAAGGUUGAUAGUUUUUUCAUCAGCCACAACAUCAGCGAGAUCAUCAAUUAAUAAUCAUCAUCAUCGAACAGAAUCAAUUGUAAUAACAAUCAAAAUUAAGUUAAAUAUUAAGUCUAACCAAUUUCCAACAUAUAGCUGACAGUAGAUGAUCGUCUUUAGCAGACGAACAUCUAGCUCGUAAGUGUGGGGAUAUGAAGCGACCCUCGCCUUACCAGAAAAAUUCACAGUAGAUUUUCUCUGUUAAAAACGAAAAUAUUAGGAAAAGGCGAAUCAGGAGAGUUGUAAGAAAAAGGAAGACAAAUAAAAAUCAAUUAGGAGCGUAGGACGGGAAAACCCGACAACACUUUUAUGACCCACUUAAGUGGCACGCGCAGAAAGGUGCCCGACGAGAAACAAACAAAUAACAAUAUCUGUGAAAAAGGACAGGCACGACUGGAAAAUAAAUAAAGAUUACAUUAUCUAUGGGUUAAGUCAUAAAAGGACUGCGACUAAUUUCUGAGAAAAAUCGGAGAAUUAGAGCGCGGUGGAAAGAAAUAGAACAUUUAUAUUAGGAUUUUAAGAGUGAGAGAAAUAAAAUAGGCCAGGAUAUUAUGUAUAACUUGGAAGGAUUUUUAGAGUGGGGGGAAAAAUAAAUAAAAUAAGAAAAAAAGAGAGUUAUAUAUUGUAGAAUUCUGGGAAUUAAGGAAACUUUUCAUUAUAUCGAGAAAAAUACAGGUUGGAGUGGGGGUUGUAAAUGAGACAAAAAUAUAUUAUAUAAGUUAGAGGAAGAAUUUUUGGAGUGAAACCGAAAAGGACGGAUAUAUUAUGCAACAUCAAAAACUAGAGUGGGGGUAAAAAUAUAAGAUAUUAAAUAAUUAAAUAAAUAACUAGAUUUAGUAUAAAAACCCAAGCUGAAAUCAAAUAAAGUCAGUCAGUAAAUGAGACAGUGAAA